RNAcentral lists this ribosomal RNA (828 nucleotides) under uncultured bacterium. RNAcentral describes it as "bacterial SSU rRNA". It matches the Rfam family "Bacterial small subunit ribosomal RNA", at positions 23 to 898 of the family's 1533-position model. The record is from RNAcentral.
CUCAGAACGAACGCUGGCGGCAGGCUUAACACAUGCAAGUCGAACGCUGUAGCAAUACAGAGUGGCAGACGGGUGAGUAACGCGUGGGAACGUGCCCUUCGGUUCGGAAUAACUCAGGGAAACUUGAGCUAAUACCGGAUACGUGCGAGAGCAGAAAGAUUUAUCGCCGAAGGAUCGGCCCGCGUCCGAUUAGCUAGUUGGUGAGGUAAUGGCUCACCAAGGCGACGAUCGGUAGCUGGUCUGAGAGGAUGAUCAGCCACACUGGGACUGAGACACGGCCCAGACUCCUACGGGAGGCAGCAGUGGGGAAUAUUGGACAAUGGGCGAAAGCCUGAUCCAGCCAUGCCGCGUGAGUGAUGAAGGCCCUAGGGUUGUAAAGCUCUUUCGCCAGGGACGAUAAUGACGGUACCUGGAUAAGAAGCCCCGGCUAACUUCGUGCCAGCAGCCGCGGUAAUACGAAGGGGGCUAGCGUUGUUCGGAUUUACUGGGCGUAAAGCGCACGUAGGCGGAUCUUUAAGUCAGGGGUGAAAUCCCGGGGCUCAACCAUACAACUGCGUUCCAAACUGGUAAACUUGAGUGCGAGAGAGGUAGAUGGAAUUCCCAGUGUAGGAGUGAAAUCCGUAGAUAUUGGGAGGAACACCGAUGGCGUAGGCAGUCUACUGGCUCGCUACUGACACUAAGGCACGAAAGCGUGGGUAGCAAACGGGAUUAGAUACCCCGGUAGUCCACGCUGUAAACUAUGGAUGCUAGCUUUUACUCACAUCGCUGAGUAGAAGCGAAGUUAACGCGUUAAGCAUCCCGCCUGAGGAGUACGGUCGCAAGAUUAAA